AUGCGUGAUCUUUUUUGGAACCUGCGGGGCUUCGGUCACGAUGGCCGCCGCAGGCAGCUCAUUGAGUACAUGUGUGAGGAAGCCAUUGAUGUGGUGGCGAUUCAAGAGACAAUGCGCACUGAGUUUUCUCUAGCGGAACUUGAGCGCCUUAGUAGACAUCUCUUUGCCUGGCACUGGUUGCCGUCUAGUGGGGUGACCGGUCACUCCGGUGGCAUCCUUUUAGGUGUGAAGGAUGCCACCUUUGAGGUGGGCUCCAUGGACCGUGGAACCCACUUUGUUAGUAUGGCAGUCUGGGAACGUGACGUAAACUUCAAGUGGGAGAUCAUAGUGGUCUAUGGUCCGGCCGAUCACAGUCGAUCCGCCGCCUUCUUGGCGGAGCUCCAUGCCAAGAUCUCCUCUGCGACCCUCCCGGUUGUGGUUGGAGGCGACUUCAACCUCCUUCGAUCCGCGGAGGAGAAGAAUAACUCUCGGGUGGAUUUAGCCGAGAUGCGUCGUUUCAAUGACUGGGUCGCGGAUCUGGGUCUCCGUGAGUUAGACAGGGCCGGGGAGCGUUUUACCUGGACUAACCGACAGGUCUCCCCGACCCUUAGCGUGCUUGAUCGGGUGUUUAUCUCCCCGGACUGGGAACUUCGUUUCCCUUUGGCAUCCCUUCAGGCCAUUACCCGUAUUGGCUCUGACCACGUCCCCCUCCUCCUCGCUUCUAUGGAUGAACGGCCGCGCCCUCCCCCGCGGUUCCAUUUCGAGAACUUCUGGCUUCGGCAACCUAGCUUUAUGGAAGCGGUCCAGAAUCAUUGGGUCGCGGCUCGCGCCGAGCCCCAUAGGCAGAUGUCUAUUCUCGAUGAAUGGCAUCACUUGUCCAAACGAUCCCGACAGUUCAUGAAGGGAUGGGGGGCGAACAUUGGGAGAGAUCUUCAUAUUCAUAAGGCUUCCCUCCUAGAGGAGAUCCGGGGCCUUGACCUCCGCGCAGAUAUCACUGGGAUCUCCGCGGAGGAAUGGAUGCAUAGAUAUAACUUGGAGGACUCCCUUAUGGAGAUUUACUCCAAGGAGGAGGAGUUUUGGCGCCAACGUGGCUCCAUUAACUGGGUGCUAUUUGGGCAUGCCAACACUGCUUACUUCCAGGCCAUCGCCAAUGGCCGUAGGCGACGUUGCUCCAUCCCUCUCCUCUGGGAGGGUGGACAGCUAUUUCAAGACCCUCAGGCUAUUCGCCUGCUAGUUGACGACUUUUACAAGUCUCUAUUUCAGGGUCGACAGCGAAAUGGUGUCGCCCUAGCUGACCAUAUCUGGUCACGUGACCAACAGAUUUCCCCCACGGAAAAUGCAAGCCUGCUAGCCCCCUUCGAUGUUGCGGAAGUGGAGACCCUUGUUAAGGCUAUGAACCCGAUGUCGGCCCCUGGCCCCGAUGGCUUGUCGGUUCACUUUUUCCAGGCCUUCUGGCUGAUGGUCAAGGAUAUCAUCCUUGAUCUGUUUAGCGAGUUCUCCAAGGGCACCCUUGAUAUGUCCCGGCUUAACUACGGGAUUAUCUCCUUGAUUCCCAAGGUACCGGGAGCGGCGGACAUUAGACAAUUCCGUCCCAUCACAGUCCUCAAUGUGAUCUUUCGGAUCCUUGCUAAAGGGUACGCCUCUAGGGCGGCCCUUGUUGCUCCCCGGAUUCAUCAUCCGAACCAGUCGGCCUUCACGAAAGGGAGAUAUAUCUUAGAUGGGAUUCUUGCUCUCCAUGAGAUUAUCCAUGAGGUUAAGAGCAAACACCUCCGUGCGGUCUUCUUCAAGAUCGAUUUCCAUAAAGCCUAUGAUACGAUUCAUUGGUCCUUCCUUCGGGAAGUGUUGCUGAAACGUGGCUUUGACCCUCACUGGGUAGCACGGGUAAUGCAAUUAGUUACGGGUGGCCGGACAGCUGUUAAUAUCAAUGGGGAGGUUGGCCCAUACUUCAUGACUGGCCAAGGGGUCCGGCAGGGAGACCCGAUCUCCCCAUUCUUAUUCAACCUUGUGGUUGAUGCACUCGCCUCGAUUCUGGAUUUGGCCAAGCGUGCGGGUCACAUUAAGGGGGUAUGCCCUCAUUUGGUGACACCUGGGGGUUUAACCCAUCUCCAAUACGCGGACGACACCAUUAUGAUGGUGGAGGGCUCUGAUGAGGAUAUACAGAAUCUCAAAUUCCUCCUCCUCUGCUUCCAGGAAAUGUCGGGCCUCAAAAUAAACUUUGCCAAGAGCGAGGUAAUGGUCAUGGGAUAUUCCCAAAGGGAGGCCCAGCGGAUUGCUAAUCGUCUGAACUGCCGCUUGGGUUCCUUCCCGACGACCUAUCUUGGCGUGCCCCUUAGUGAUGCACGACUCCUGGAAAAGGAUUUCCGUCCAAUAGUCGCCAGGCUCCAUCCUAGAAUGGAGCCUUGGCAAGGGAGAUGGAUUUCUAAAGCCGCUCGAGUGAUUCUAAUGAACUCCUCCCUUAUUAGCCUACUGAUGUAUAUAAUGGGAUUCUAUAGCCUACAUGAAUCCCUUCAUCAGGAAAUUACCACACUACUCUCCCGCUUCUUUUGGGCGGGAGAGAACAAUAAGCAGAAGUACCAUAUGGUCAAAUGGUCUGAGAUCUGCAAACCUAAGGACCAGGGAGGCUUGGGGGUCAUCUCCUCCAAGCGUAUGAACAUUGCCCUCCUGUCCAAAUGGCUUUGGCGGAUCCAGACGGAGGAGGGUGGCCUAUGGCUUCAGAUUAUUCGUAGGAAGUACCUUCGCGGGCAACCAUUAGCGUUUGCCUCUAGGUCUGGAGGUUCCCAAUUCUGGCAAUCGGUGAUAUCUUUGCUGCCGGUCCUACGCAUUGGGACCUCCAUUCAAAUAGGCUCUGGGUCUGCCACCCUCUUUUGGCUGGAUAGAUGGGCGGGACCCCGCCCCUUUGCAGAGCAUUUUUACGCCCUAUUCUCUAUCUGUGUUCGCCCACAGACCUCUGUGGCCGCGGCACUAGAGAACCUAGGCGCGAUUGCCUUCCAUUGCACCUUCGCGGCGAUCGAACUUUCGCAAUGGGAUGAAUUACUUGAAUGCAUUGCCCUUCAUCCUCCUUCUCUGGAACCGGAUUCACUUUCCUGGCACCUCGAGCCAAGCGGUAGAUUUUCGACUAGAUCCCUGUACCAGGCGAUUGUGCCUACUCCCGGUCCAGUGGAGCUCAGGGUGCUCUGGGAGAUCAAACUCCCCCUAAAGAUCCGUAUACUUUUAUGGCAAUGGGUUAGAGGACGCCUCCCCUCGGGCACUGAGGUCCGUAAGCGUAAUGGACCCGGGGACGGUCUAUGCCCCAUUUGUCUAGUUCUGGAAGAUUGCAACCACAUCUUCUUCCGGUGCCCGGCGGCGCAGUUCUUAUGGAGCUGCUUUCGGGAGGUAGUUGGGGGCACAUGGUGCCAUGACAACCUCCCAGACUUGUUCGGGGAGGUCCUCCGACUCCCCGGGACUAGGCGCGCCCCUAUUUGGGUCGCGCUAGGUACCCUUGCCUGGUCCCUUUGGUGUACCCACAAUAAAUUAGUCGUCGAACGAGUGAUUCCGUCCCGCGUGACUGAUGUGAUCUACAAAAUGUGUGGCUUCUUACAGCUUUGGAGAUCGAGUCGUCAUCGACAACAUCAUGGCGGGUCUUCGUGCCUCGGCGGCGUCUUUUGCUCCUCCCCCGCCACCUCCCCCGCCCCCUCCUGA
Molecule: ribosomal RNA, 3657 nt
Filed under: Triticum aestivum (bread wheat)
Lineage: Eukaryota; Viridiplantae; Streptophyta; Magnoliopsida; Poales; Poaceae
Description: partial small subunit ribosomal RNA
Source: RNAcentral